UGGAGAGUUUGAUCCUGGCUCAGGACGAACGCUGGCGGCGUGCUUAACACAUGCAAGUCGAACGAAGAGCGAUGGAAGCUUGCUUCUAUCAAUCUUAGUGGCGAACGGGUGAGUAACGCGUAAUCAACCUGCCCUUCAGAGGGGGACAACAGUUGGAAACGACUGCUAAUACCGCAUACGAUCUAAUCUCGGCAUCGAGGAUGGAUGAAAGGUGGCCUCUAUUUAUAAGCUAUCACUGAAGGAGGGGAUUGCGUCUGAUUAGCUAGUUGGAGGGGUAACGGCCCACC
RNAcentral lists this ribosomal RNA (287 nucleotides) under Prevotella sp. Its description in RNAcentral is "partial 16S ribosomal RNA". It matches the Rfam family "Bacterial small subunit ribosomal RNA", at positions 1 to 269 of the family's 1533-position model. The record is from RNAcentral. Lineage: Bacteria; Pseudomonadati; Bacteroidota; Bacteroidia; Bacteroidales; Prevotellaceae.